GAUGAACGCUGGCGGCGUGCUUAAUACAUGCAAGUCGAACGGAGAGUCUUGUAGUAAUACGAGGCUUCUCAGUGGCGAACGGGCGAGUAACGAGUUGGUGACCUGCCCCGAAGUGUGGGAUAACAGUCCGAAAGGAUUGCUAAUACCGCAUGUGAUCAUGGGAUCUAGAAACCUAUGAUUAAAGCAGAAAUGCGCUUCGGGAGGGACCUGCUUCCCAUCAGCUAGUUGGUGAGGUAACGGCCCACCAAGGCUACGACGGGUAAGGGACCUGAGAGGGUGGUCCCUCGCAAUGGCACUGAAACACGGGCCAUACACCUACGGGAGGCAG
This 328-nucleotide ribosomal RNA is filed under the name uncultured Chloroflexota bacterium. RNAcentral describes it as "bacterial SSU rRNA". It matches the Rfam family "Bacterial small subunit ribosomal RNA", at positions 28 to 351 of the family's 1533-position model. The record is from RNAcentral. Lineage: Bacteria; Bacillati; Chloroflexota.